UACAGAGGUCCCGAGCGUUGUUCGGAUUUAUUGGGCGUAAAGGGUGCGUAGGCGGCGGAGUAAGUUGGGGGUGAAAUCCCGGGGCUUAACCUCGGAAUUGCAUUCAAUACUGCUUCGCUCGAGUACUGGAGAGGAGGCUGGAAUUUACGGUGUAGCAGUGAAAUGCGUAGAUAUCGUAAGGAAGGCCGGUGGCGAAAGCGAGCCUCUGGACAGUUACUGACGCUGAUGCACGAAGGCCAGGGGAGCAAACGGG
This 253-nucleotide ribosomal RNA is filed under the name uncultured bacterium. Its description in RNAcentral is "partial 16S ribosomal RNA". It matches the Rfam family "Bacterial small subunit ribosomal RNA", at positions 524 to 776 of the family's 1533-position model. The record is from RNAcentral.